Molecule: long non-coding RNA, 514 nt
Filed under: Nicotiana tabacum (common tobacco)
Lineage: Eukaryota; Viridiplantae; Streptophyta; Magnoliopsida; Solanales; Solanaceae
Description: long non-coding RNA (NTAB_LNC008742)
Source: RNAcentral
UGAACCACCAUCAUCAACAUAAUAUUACCUUGAAAGUCCUACAACAGCACUGGCACCUAGGCUUGCAUGUUCUGCAAACUCAGCCGCAGCUUGAGCAGCAGCGGUAGCAUCCUUAAAUUUUAUGUUCCAAUUCUGCCUGCCAACAGAUAAAUUACUAUUACCAUCUCCAGGAAAUGAUUGCCCAUGUUCCAACCUUUCAUCCUUGAAACCUAAGUGGCAUCAACCACGAUCAUCAACACAAUAUUGCCUUGAAAGUCCUACAACAGUUCUAGCAGCUAGGCUUGCAUGUUCUGCAAACUCAGCCGCAGCUUGAGCAGCAACGGUAGCAUCCUUAAAUUUCAUCUUCCAAUUCUGCCUGCCAACAAAAAAAUUACAAUUACCAUCUCCAGGAAAUGACUACCCAUGUUCCAACCUUUUAUCCUUGAAACCUAAGUGGUAUGAACCACCAUCAUCAACACAAUAUUGCCUUGAAAGUUCAACAACAGCUCUGGCAGCUAGGCUUGGAUGUUCUGCA